UCAUAGGCUGCGGUCGAGAAGACGCUCUGGAUGCUUUGAAACAUCAUUCUAUCUUUGUUCUAUAUUCUAUGAGAAUAAAGAUAGAAUGAUGUUUCGGAGCAUUCGUAAUGCAGUCUUGACCGCAGCCAUAAAAAUAACAUAUUCAAGAGGCAGGUUUAACCUAAAAAAUUGUAUGUACUAGUGCUAAUAAAAAUACAUUUUUAUUGAUAGUACAAUACAAUAGAAAUUUAGUGCUUAGAAGUGAAUAGACAUUUAAUGCUUUUAAUAAGUGAGUGCAAUAUAAUAAAAAAUACAACGGUAUGUUUCGCAGAUGGAAAAGAUAUCUUCGGAUUUGAUGAUUUUGAUUAAUUAACCUAGGAAUUAUACUGCGACAUGUACUCGUAUUUUGUUGUUUUUUGGGAUGAAUGGUACAAUACCGGAAUGGUACAAUACCGCUACAAUACCGGAUUCUUGAAUUAUCUUAAAGUCUCAAGUUUUUAAAUGGCCACCCAAAAAUAAGAAUGCUACUAAUGAAAGUAAAAGAGGAACAAAGCCUCAAGAAAAGUGGAUAACAGUUCCAUAUUCCAAAUUAUUAGGACCUUUCGAUACUUUCAAAGAAGCGAGAGAAGUUGAGAACAAUACUUUAGAUAUUUCAACGAAUGAUGAAAACUUGCGGAAGUGACAAAAAAGAAAAAUACUGAGGUUUCACAAAAACGUGCAAUUCAAAAACCAUAUCGUUUUCUUUCUUCCUCUUCCAAUUCUUCUUCUGAGGAAGAAGAGGAAAGUCAAACAAAGACAAAAGCUAUUAAGAGGAAGAGUAGUCAACAUUCAAUGAACCAAACAACAAAUAAAAAUCUAAUAGAGCCAACAGAAAAUUCAUGUAAUAAUAAACCUCCAACAAAUUACAAAUCACUAAAUGCAAGAGAAUUUUGUCAUACGUCGAUUAAAGAAUCAUGGAAUGAAAAUGAUUACUAGAUUGCACUAAGGAACAAAUUUUUGAGAAAGACGAAUUUAUUUUCUUUUUCACUUUAUUCGAAAAGAUAUUUCUUUAGAAUUACAGGCUGAUAUACUUACACAUGAAGAUCCUUUAUGCAUCACGAAAACUGAAUCAAAAUCAAAAGUGUCAGAAAAACCAACAAUCAAAAAUAUUGUUGUAACAAAUAUACCAUUACUUGUUGGAAUCUUACAUAAUAAAAAAAAUGGCAAGAAUCAAUCAUGGAAUAGUGAAAAUAAUAUCCAAAAAUUACAGCUAAAUGAUCGAAAUACAGAAACAGACAAGGAACAAAAAUCAGGCAGUCAUCAUGAAAUGCAGACAUCACAAAAUACCAGCCAAAAGCAAAAAAUAGAUAAUCAUCAAGAAUGUUGCAGAGUUUGUCGGAACGAUAUUUCAACGAUUUUACGUACUGUGAUAGGAAUACGACAAAUACUUUUAGAUUCAAAUCCACACCAGUUACAAGGAGAAAAUAUUGAUUUGGAUUUGCCGAUUUUUAAUGUUAAGAAAUUAGAUGAAUUUAAUAAAAGACUUUGUGAAGAUUGUACUACUCGAUUGUAAUAUCAAAGAAUGAUUCGGACAAUAGGAGGUAUAACCCCACAUAAACAUGUACGAAACGCGAUGCGUUUAACAAUAGCUGAUACGUUAGCUUACCAAAUGACUUGGACUAAUAAAAAAAAAUAAGAUUGAAACUCAGAACAUGAAAUUCAUCAAUCUCAUUAUUGAAACUCUCGUUACUGAUCGGAAUAUUUCUAUCGCCAAUGUGCAAAAAGUAUUAAAAUCAUGGUUGCAACAUGCCGGCGAUCGAAUAAAUCGAAGACAAAAAGAAGAAAUUCAAAAUGAGUCAGUGGAUGAUUAAUACUUUUAUAAUAAUAUAUAAUAUAAUAAUAAUAAUAACUUAAUAUAAUUAUGACAUGGACGUAUCCAGAA
RNAcentral lists this long non-coding RNA (1900 nucleotides) under Camponotus floridanus (Florida carpenter ant). RNAcentral's name for it is "uncharacterized LOC112639242, transcript variant X6". Lineage: Eukaryota; Metazoa; Arthropoda; Insecta; Hymenoptera; Formicidae. The record is from RNAcentral.